This 149-nucleotide ribosomal RNA is filed under the name Russula foetens. RNAcentral describes it as "5.8S ribosomal RNA". It matches the Rfam family "5.8S ribosomal RNA". Rfam says of the family: 5.8S ribosomal RNA (5.8S rRNA) is a component of the large subunit of the eukaryotic ribosome. Lineage: Eukaryota; Fungi; Basidiomycota; Agaricomycetes; Russulales; Russulaceae. RNAcentral also lists the same sequence under 4 other names. The record is from RNAcentral.
ACAACGGAUCUCUUGGCUCUCGCAUCGAUGAAGAACGCAGCGAAAUGCGAUACGUAAUGUGAAUUGCAGAAUUCAGUGAAUCAUCGAAUCUUUGAACGCACCUUGCGCCCUUUGGCAUUCCGAGGGGCACACCCGUUUGAGUGUCGUGA